AUGGCCAAUACCCGGUCAGGAGGGGCGAACAAUGAGGGAGCAGGGGGCACCAGUGCAAGGAAAGGCAGCGCCGCCACCAAUGCAAAAGACCCCAUGUCUGCAACGACCUCCACCUCGUCUGCCAGUGGAAGGGAGUCUAGAAGCUUGUCCACACGUGAAACAAGCGAUGAGCAGAAGCCAAACCUCAGGAGGUCGAACCGAGAAACAAAAGGAAAGAAUCCCAUUGUGACCAACAGUUCUGCCUCUACACCUGUUUCGCAGAAAUCUAUUAGGGGCAGGAGCAACCCCAGCACACCUGGUACCCCGAAAUCGUCAGCAAGGAAGCUAAAAGGGUCGACGAGGAAGGCUAGUACCCCAAGAACGUCCGACAGAGUAAAGAAAAGUACCGUUUCAGCUUCUACUGCUUCAAAUGAUUCAAAUGGAGUUUCUAGUCCAGUGGCUACUCCCGACAAAACUGUAAAAAGAGAAAUUGAUGAACAUAACUCAACAAAGAAUGAUGCUUCCGAGAGUGGUACUAUGCCAUUGAAGAAGCAGAAAAGGCUAACCACACAGAGCUAUACAAAUCUCUUCAAGACAUCUUCUGAAGAACAUGAAAAAUCCCCUGCCUAUGAGGGAAAUGCUUCCAAGGUACACGCAGAAGAUAAUGGCUCUGUUUUGAGGCAUGAAGAAAGUGGCGCACAUGAAGAGGAUAACCAGGCACAUUUAAGUCAAGUCGCCAAUAAUUUUUUGGAAGGCUAUACUUCUGGCCUGUGUGAAGUUCCCAAGGUGAUAUUGGAGACAGAUGGGUUGAAAACUGAUGCUGAAAAAUCUGCUCCCAUUUCAGAGGACUUGGUUACAUUAUCAAGUCCUGUACAGGCACAUAUGACUGCUGAUCUGUGCUCAAGCAGUCCUGCAAUGGAUGCUACAGAGCCAACUGAUGACUGUUCAGAGUUAGCACUUCACGUUGCAAUGGGCCAGAAAGUGGAUUCAUCAAAAUUUGUGGAGUAUUGGGUUCCUGCUCGACUUUCACGAGUACAACUAGAAUUCUACUGUUAUACCUUACUUUCAAACUCACCAGCCCUUCGAUCACAUUCAAAAACUGACAGUAUUGGUGCUCUUUGCAACAUUCUUGUAUCCCUUCGGAAGUGCUGCGACCACCCUUAUCUAGUAGAUAAAACGUUGCAUUUAUUACUUACCAAGGGACACCCAAUAACUGAUAUCCUAGAUAUUGGAGUGUGUGCAAGUGGUAAGCUACUGCUUCUUGACAAAAUGCUCCAAGAAAUCUGGAAAAAAGGGCAGAGAGUUCUUAUCCUUUCCCAGUCUUGUGGUGGGGCUGACAAUCCAAUGGGUGACAUUUUGGAUGACUUUGUCCAUCAAAGAUUUGGUUUUGAGUCAUAUGAACGCGUGGAGUGUGGUCUGAAUGUACGAAAGAAACAGGGUGCAAUGAGUAUGUUCAAUGACACAACUAAGGGCCGGUUUAUUUUCUUGAUUGAUAGCCGUGCGUGUGUCCCAAGCAUUAAACUAUCAUCAGUUGAUGUCAUCAUCAUAUAUUGUAGUGAUUGGAACCCCACAAAUGACUUGAGAGUCCUCGAGAAGAUCAGCAUAGAGUCACAAUCCGAGUGUGUGCCCAUUUUUCGUUUAUAUUCGUCUUGUACAGUGGAAGAGAAGGCUCUUAUACUUGCAAAGCAUGAUCAUAUUCUUGAUAGCACUGUCCAGAAUAUAACGCCUAUCCUGAGCCAUUCUCUGCUUAGUUGGGGUGCAUCAUUUCUCUUCAGUAGACUCGAAGGGCUAAAAAACUAUGCAUGUUUACGCAAGGAUUCUGAUGCUGAGAAACUGUUCAUGGAUAAAGUACUUUUGGACUUAAAGAAGUUAUCCACUAAAGAUGAUCCCAGCACUAAGAUGAGCAAUGCAGCCAUAUCACAAGCUCAUCUGAGUGGACCUUUUUAUUCUAGAGAUAGUCUUGUAGUAGGUGAGAGGGAGGGGAUCUCUGCACCUGAUAGUGAUCUGCCAAAGUUCUGGGUAAAUUUGCUAGAUCAGAAGUCUCCUCGUUGGCAGUAUAUAACUGAGCAGGCACAAAGAAGCCGUAGAAAGAUACAAAACAUGGAAGAAGGGAAAAUUCCUGCCGAUGAGGCUGAUGAAGCCAGUACCAAACGCAGAAAAAUUGCUGGAAUCUUGGAUUCAUCUGCAAAUGUUUUAGCUGGCGAAGACAAGGACUCAAUAUUGCCUGAAACUAAUACGACAUCUAGUUCUCAUCGAAAAAUUGCUGGGAUCUUGGAUUCAUCUGCAAAUGUUUUAGCUGGCGAAGACAAGGACUCAAUAUUACCUGAAACUAAUAUGCCAUCUAGUUCUCAUCAAAUAUCAGUUGACGACACAUGGCAGGAACAAGGGGUGAAAAAUCUUCAGGACACACAAAAAAGUCUUCAUAUCCAGUUGAAACCAGAGCUCUCAAUGCUAUAUGAAUUGUUUGAACUACCGGGGAGUGUUAAAUGUUUAUGUGAGGAACUUCUUGAGUAUACUUUGAAGAAUCACCAAGUCAGUCAGGUGCCAAAGGACAUACUGCAUGCAUUCAACAUUGCACUGUGCUGGCGUGCUGCUUCUCUCUCAAGGCAUAAGGUUAAUCAUAGAGAAUCACUGGCCCUUGCUGUAGAACACUUGAAGUAUGAGUGCAGUGAAAUUCUUGCUGAGAAGGUUUAUAAGAAGCUAAGGAUCCUAAAGAAGGAGUUCUCUCAUAGGGUAGGCAGAACAGGCAAGAGUAAUCAAUCAAUUUCAGUAAAGAACAUAUCACCAUGCCAGCAGGAGCCCUCAACUAAAUGUGGAACUGACAAAUCAAUCCCUAAGCAGGCAGCAUCUGUUGGUGAGAACGAAUCACAUCAAGAGGAUUCACAUGACUUAGUGAUUGAGCCUAUCGUACUAGGAGAGAAGGAAGUGCUAUAUGUUCCAGAGAUUAAUGAAAAACAACAUUUAUCAAAGGAUGCACUUCUUAAUAGAAUCACAGAGAAAAGAAUUAAAUUAGUUGACAUGGUAUUCUCCUUGAGAGAAAAGAAUAUCCAUGAUAAACAAACAAAUGAGGUCGCAAUGUUUGACAUGCACAGGCACAAGGGAGUGGAGAAACUGAGAGAAGCACGCAGAAUAGUUGUGGAACACCUUCGUAGGUCUCAAGCUGAUCUAGAGGACAGAGGUGGUCAAAUGAAGCUAAUAGUUGAAUGGUUCACUAUGCUACUAUAUGCGUUUCUGAAGCACAUGAGGUACCAGCGUGAGAAGCUUGACUUGCAGCAAUCAAUGGUGUGGACUAAGGAAUUACAGUUGAAAGAAAAUUUCCUUCACGAAGCAAAAUUUGGCCAGUUAGAUCUUACUUUUGAUGAACAUAUUUAUUUACCAGAUUCAGGCUUUGCUAUUGAGGAAUUCAGCCACUUUAGCUCCUGUGUUGAUACAGCAACUUUGGCAAACUGUCCGCAGUCUUUGCAUGAAACCUCAGCGAUGGAAGUUACAUUGGUUCGUAGUGUGAUUUCAUCUGAUGUUAUCAAUGCAGAAGCAGCGAGAAGUAGUUCUGCUGAAGUUCUUAUCCACAAUGAGGGAAUGCCAGCAUCAGAAGGCAUUGGUUUGACAGAGAACACGAUCAGCAAUAGUUUUGAUUGCAUCGACUCACAAGGAGGGGCAUCUCUGGCUGUUCAACACCAAGUAAAUUCUAGUCCUGCAAUUGAUAAUUCUAUUAAUCAGGAAUCUUCAAGUGGUGGCCAUAGAAGGACCGAACAUGUUGAGCGACAGAGUGGUGUGGGUUCGCAACCAUUACUCGGAGAGACUGACCAACAUUUAGGAGAUGCUGAAAUGGAAGUUAACACCGGCAAUAGGGACGAUACUCAGGAAGAUCCACCUUACCUAGAACCACAGACUCUGGCUCCUGUGCCCAGCCAGGCUUCCUUGCAAAUGUCCAAGGAAGUUGAAGCUGAGGCCAACCUUGUACUGCAGUCAGCCCAACCAAUUGCAGCUCCAGCACAACUUCUGCAAAGAGAGGCAGAACAAGUAGACCGUUCUGGUGUGAUACCAGCUCAGACUUUGCAACCUGAAAUGCAACCAUCAGCAUCCAGGGAAGCUUAUAUGCAGGCAGAUCUGAUAAUUCAGUCUGCACUACCAAGUAUGGUGCCAACUGAGCUUUCACGGUUGCUUGAAAGAACACACCCUGAUCAGUGUCAACUAAGUCAUCAACCCGAGGCUGCACUGGGUUCUUCAGCAAAACUGGUGGCAUCAAUGGUGUUUAAUCAUCCACCAGUUGGUGAUGAACCACUGAAAAAUGAGUUGCACAGAUUACGGUCAUACAUUGACUCGCUUAAUAAAACCAACGAACUAAAGAAAUCACAACUUAGGACUGAGUGUAGCCAAGAAAUAGACAAGGUCAAACAAAAGUACGAUUUGUUACUUCAAGAACAGGAUUCCACUCAUCUUCAGCAAACAAAGACACUUGAUAAUUUAUGUGAGAAAGUUCUCCUCAACCAGUCAAUAGCUGACUAUUUUCGGGCUAAAUUCAUAUCUUCUUCUGGAGCACAAGCUAGAGCCCAGAGCCCUCCAAAUCACCAGACACCCCAGGCCUCUCAGCAAGUUCCCCCGAGGCCUUCAGCUGUAGCAGCGACUGCAUCACCAGCUGCGUCGUCGUCAGCUGGUCGAUCACCAGUAUUGACACAUCAUAUCCAACCAUUACAGGUCGAUCGACCAUCACCAUCAUCACCAGCUGGUCCACUACCACAUGUCCAACCAUUAAAAGUCGAUCGACCAUCACCAUCAUCAUCGCCAUCUUCACAAGUUGUCAGACCUCGCCCCUCCAUACUAAACAACAUUGUCAGAUCACCGUCAACUACUUUUAGUCUCGCGCCAGUUCUGCCACGGGGAAGCUUUGGAGUCCAGAGUGAACUAGCACGUGCACGUGCACCUGCUCCUCAUCUUCGGCGCAGGUUGCCUCCACAGGUGCAGUCUAUGGCAUCUGCAAAUCAGCAGCAGCUUCCAACUAAGCUUGAGAGCAUGUCUGCAAGGACAUGGGCUACCCCUGUGACUCCAGUAAAUAUAAGACAAUCAUGCCCACAAGCAGUUCCCCCAGGGAACCCAUCACUGUCAAGUUUGCACCCAAGUUUAUACCCCACUUUAGCCGCACUCUUGGGACCAUCAAGUUCACAUCAAAUUCAGCAGGGUCCACUACUGCCAUCAAGUUCACUGCCAACACGCUUGUCGUCUCCAGUACCUUCAACUCCAAAUCCAGUUCUGCCACUAACAUCACCGCGAGGUUUGACUAUGACAUUUAGUGUUUCCUCAGCUGCGUCGAAUGUGUUGCCAAGUAGGGGUGUUGGGCCUUCCACAUCAGGCACUCCGCAGUCAGAUUCUGAUUCAGCACGCUGGAUGAAUGGCUAA
Molecule: ribosomal RNA, 5373 nt
Filed under: Triticum aestivum (bread wheat)
Lineage: Eukaryota; Viridiplantae; Streptophyta; Magnoliopsida; Poales; Poaceae
Description: partial small subunit ribosomal RNA
Source: RNAcentral